Molecule: long non-coding RNA, 524 nt
Organism: Capsicum annuum
Lineage: Eukaryota; Viridiplantae; Streptophyta; Magnoliopsida; Solanales; Solanaceae
Exons: 2
Source: RefSeq, a predicted model, not a curated record
UAGAAAAAAUAUAUAAACUGCAAAAAAAAACAACGUUUUUUAACUCCUUUCUUAUAGGAAUUACUCCUUUUAAAAUGCAACUACAAAUUAGUUACCUCUUUCAAAAUAUUCUAUAUCUGUAUAUACUCAUAUGACCUGUGUGAUUUCAUUUUAAUUUCUCCUACAAGAGAAAACAAAUCAUCCCUUCUUUUUCUUCACAAAAUGAGACGGAUUUCGUAAGUCCGUGAUGAAUUUUAAUAUUUUUCGUUGAAUUUUGACCGAGACAGUGACAACAUCGCCUGAUGUUUGAAUUCCAAUGGUGAUGCGUGGUUUUUGUUGAUGGGAGUCCAUGGUUCCCCAGUGAUGGAGCGGCGGGGGAGUUGGAGAUCGGAGCAGGAGAGGAGACGACAACUGUUGGUGUUAGUCGGUCGGCGACGACGAGUGUUGGUGGUAGUCGGUCGGCGACGACGUCGGCGACGGCUGUUGGACGCACAAUUGGAAAAAUGGCACAAACGAAGGAGAAUACCAAGCAGAUGUUGUCUAAA